UGGAAUUUACAUGAGAAUGGUGAAUUCUCGGUAAAUUCCAUGUACAAUGUCUUAAUCCAACUGGAUGUUCCUGUCAAUAAUAAGAAGAAGAUUUAGAAAAUGAAAAUUCCUUUAAAGAUCAACAUUUUUACUUGGUAUUUAAGACGUGGUGUCAUUCUUACUAGAGAUAACCUUGCGAAGCAAAAUUUGAUUGGCAGCAAAUCAUGUGUUUUCUGCCAUCAUGAUGAGACUAUUAAACAUUUGUUCUUCCAAUGUAGUUUUGCACGUUCUAUAUGA
This 276-nucleotide ribosomal RNA is filed under the name Triticum aestivum (bread wheat). RNAcentral describes it as "partial small subunit ribosomal RNA". The record is from RNAcentral. Lineage: Eukaryota; Viridiplantae; Streptophyta; Magnoliopsida; Poales; Poaceae.